This 498-nucleotide ribosomal RNA is filed under the name uncultured bacterium. RNAcentral's name for it is "bacterial SSU rRNA". It matches the Rfam family "Bacterial small subunit ribosomal RNA", at positions 28 to 526 of the family's 1533-position model. The record is from RNAcentral.
GAUGAACGCUGGCGGCGUGCUUAACACAUGCAAGUCGAACGGAAAGGCCCCUUUCGGGGGGUGCUCGAGUGGCGAACGGGUGAGUAACACGUGGGUGAUCUGCCCUGCACUUCGGGAUAAGCUUGGGAAACUGGGUCUAAUACCGGAUAGGACCGCGGGAUGCAUGUUCUGUGGUGGAAAGUUUUUAACGGUGUGGGAUGGGCCCGCGGCCUAUCAGCUUGUUGGUGGGGUGAUGGCCUACCAAGGCGACGACGGGUAGCCGGCCUGAGAGGGUGUCCGGCCACACUGGGACUGAGAUACGGCCCAGACUCCUACGGGAGGCAGCAGUGGGGAAUAUUGCACAAUGGGCGCAAGCCUGAUGCAGCGACGCCGCGUGGGGGAUGACGGCCUUCGGGUUGUAAACCUCUUUCACCAUCGACGAAGGCCCGGUGUUUGUCGGGUUGACGGUAGGUGGAGAAGAAGCACCGGCCAACUACGUGCCAGCAGCCGCCGUAAAAC